Molecule: ribosomal RNA, 274 nt
Filed under: uncultured bacterium
Lineage: Bacteria
Description: partial 16S ribosomal RNA
Rfam family: Archaeal small subunit ribosomal RNA
Source: RNAcentral
AAACCAGCACCUCAAGUGGUCAGGAGGAUUAUUUGGCCUAAAGCAUCCGUAGCCUGUUCUAUAAGUUUCCGGUUAAAUCCACUAGCUCAACUAGUGGGCUGCCGAAAAUACUGUAGAACUAGGGAGUGGGAGAGGUAGACGGUAUUCGGUAGGAAGGGGUAAAAUCCUUUGAUCUAUUGAUGACCACCUGUGGCGAAGGCGGUCUACCAGAACACGUUCGACGGUGAGGGAUGAAAGCUGGGGGAGCAAACCGGAUUAGAAACCCGAGUAGUCC